Molecule: long non-coding RNA, 107 nt
Organism: Myripristis murdjan (pinecone soldierfish)
Lineage: Eukaryota; Metazoa; Chordata; Actinopteri; Holocentriformes; Holocentridae
Exons: 3
Source: RefSeq, a predicted model, not a curated record
UGUCUGACAUGUAUGACAGUAGGUGGGUUUCCAUGCACCUGUUUUUAUUCGCAUUUUCAAUUUGCGCAUUAAAAACCCGAAUGGAAACACUGGAAAUUCAAAAAAAA